CCUACGGGAGGCUGCAGUGGGGAAUAUUGGACAAUGGGGGGAACCCUGAUCCAGCCAUGCCGCGUGUGUGAAGAAGGCCCUCGGGUUGUAAAGCACUUUCAGUGAGGAAGAACGCCUGGUGGUUAAUACCCAUCAGGAAAGACAUCACUCACAGAAAAAGCACCGGCUAACUCCGUGCCAGCAGCCGCGGUAAUACGGAGGGUGCGAGCGUUAAUCGGAAUUACUGGGCGUAAAGCGCGCGUAGGUGGCUUGAUAAGCCGGUUGUGAAAGCCCCGGGCUCAACCUGGGAACGGCAUCCGGAACUGUCAAGCUAGAGUGCAGGAGAGGAAGGUAGAAUUCCCGGUGUAGCGGUGAAAUGCGUAGAGAUCGGGAGGAAUACCAGUGGCGAAGGCGGCCUUCUGGACUGACACUGACACUGAGGUGCGAAAGCGUGGGUAGCAAACAGGAUUAGAUACCCUGGUAGUC
RNAcentral lists this ribosomal RNA (465 nucleotides) under Vreelandella stevensii. RNAcentral's name for it is "partial 16S ribosomal RNA". It matches the Rfam family "Bacterial small subunit ribosomal RNA", at positions 338 to 795 of the family's 1533-position model. The record is from RNAcentral. Lineage: Bacteria; Pseudomonadati; Pseudomonadota; Gammaproteobacteria; Oceanospirillales; Halomonadaceae.